GUUUAUUGUUGAACUGUAUUUUGAAUUGUUACAUGUAUUUAGGUUCUCGUGUUGGUUUGAUAUACAUGUAUACUCAACAUAGAUACCAGGAUUAAAAUUGUGUGUGCCAGGUGAAUGUUACAUAUACAAAAGAUUUAAACCCAAUUAAUGUAUAAUUGUAAACCAACUUCUGUUUGCAGGCUCUUUUUGCUUUAGCCUUUUCUGGAAGACUUUUUAAGGUCUUUCCUCUUCCCGAGGAAAGACCUUAUUGUUUUUCUAAUGUUUUUUUUCUUUUUUUUUUCCUUCCAGCAUUUGUUUGGCACGCCCUCCUACCGCUUCUAUUGGAGUUAUCAAUACCAAAUUUGAACCAUCGAUAGACCUCAUCAUGAACUUUUACCAGAUGAACUUUUGUAGGAUUUCAUCAUCCCCUUUAGAAGUUAUCUCCCUUUUAUUGAUUUUUUUCAACAUGGCCCCCCCUAAAUGUUUUAAAAGAUAUCAUGACCUUAUUUGGACAAUAGGUAGAUCUCAUCAUGAUGUAUUACCAUAUGAGGCUGCAUAGGAUUUCAUCAUCCCCUUUGAGAGUUAUAUCCCCUUGAAGCAAUUUCUUUUAUUUGUAUUUUUCUUUAAAAGUAUUAGAGAUAGAAUCGAUUUGAAAAUGGCAAA
This 642-nucleotide long non-coding RNA is filed under the name Mytilus galloprovincialis (Mediterranean mussel). Lineage: Eukaryota; Metazoa; Mollusca; Bivalvia; Mytilida; Mytilidae. The record is from RNAcentral.